Long non-coding RNA from Felis catus (domestic cat), 1114 nucleotides. RefSeq lists it as uncharacterized. The record is from RefSeq and is a predicted model, not a curated record. The transcript is spliced from 6 exons. NCBI's taxonomy places the organism in Eukaryota, Metazoa, Chordata, Mammalia, Carnivora, Felidae.
UUUGGUGGCUGAUAUCACUUGUAAACCUGGGAAUUACCGCCUACCCAAAGGCGUGAGACCAAUACAAAUGGGAAGACACAGAAAGUCUGUUUCAUGUUUUCUAAUUCAGUGCCACUCCUUAGUGUCAUAUGUGAAAAUAACAUCACUUCAGCAUCAGCUGUAACUGUUGAAAAUGAGGAAAGAUAGAGCCAAAUUAUAAAUGAAUGUACCUCCAAUUAUACGUGCAGGUAGGGAACAGCUUAUCACCCUUAUCCCAUGCCCCGGUGGCUUAUCCAUUAAUGUAUUUUUAUUCAACAAGCAUUCAGUAAACAUUUACCAGAUUCCAGGCUUUUUGUAAAUUGCUGAGGCCCAAAUCUCCUCAGCCAGCUUUCCUCCAACCUCAGCCCUGGCAUAUUAGGGUAUUUGCUCAUUUUGUGGGAUUUUCACUCCUGGAUCAGCUCAAAAUCUGAAGAGAAGAGGUACGGGGAGUGAAUAGUCCUGAGCAGCAUUUGGUCAAAGUCUCUCCAGGACCUGAACCAUUUGAGUAGCUUGAAAAGGACGUCGGAAAGCUGCAUGAGGACCUGAGGGGUGUUGGGAAAUAGAGUUUGCGUUGGUGGGAGCCCCAACACAAUGAAAGAGUUUGCACUCCUUAUGCGCAAGGAGCUCGACUUGGAGGAGAGUGGAGAGGACAGAAAGAACGUCUGAGCUGGGACAGACAGAUCAUGCAGGGACAGAACUUGUCUCAUGCCCUCCAUCAGUCUACGUACUCAAUAGUUGCCCUUGAGGUACUCAUCAUAAGCUAGCAGAAAAAAAGCAUGGCAUUGGCAUUCCCUCCAUUUUUAUUAUGCGUAUGCUUCACGAACUCAUCAAAUUACUGCACCAUGCCCGGUGCUGUGAUGUUACUGUUAUCAGAACUGGUACAUCAGGGAGAAUAGGCCAGGGUCUACUAGAUGGAGCACUAUGGUCCUUUUCCAGAGAAGAAAAAUUUCACUGCUUGAAGAGAGCACAUAAAGCUGGCAUCAGGAAUACUGAAACGGAAUCUGCAGUGUCCUUGGCUACACGUAGAAAUUGUGAUCUAAAAGAGCAUGAGCAGGGGAGGGUCAGGGACAGAGAAGGACAGAGGAUCCAAAGCGGG